Molecule: transfer RNA, 91 nt
Filed under: Candidatus Magasanikiibacteriota bacterium
Lineage: Bacteria; Candidatus Magasanikiibacteriota
Description: tRNA-Ser
Rfam family: tRNA
About the family: Transfer RNA (tRNA) molecules are approximately 80 nucleotides in length.
Source: RNAcentral
GGAGAGAUGUCUGAGUGGUUGAAGGUGCCGCUCUCGAAAAGCGGUGUACUCCAAAAGAGUAUCGAGGGUUCGAAUCCCUCUCUCUCCGCCA